Molecule: transfer RNA, 69 nt
Filed under: Ictidomys tridecemlineatus (thirteen-lined ground squirrel)
Lineage: Eukaryota; Metazoa; Chordata; Mammalia; Rodentia; Sciuridae
Description: Spermophilus tridecemlineatus (thirteen-lined ground squirrel) tRNA
Rfam family: tRNA
About the family: Transfer RNA (tRNA) molecules are approximately 80 nucleotides in length. Their secondary structure includes four short double-helical elements and three loops (D, anti-codon, and T loops).
Source: Rfam by way of RNAcentral
GGAGAUAUAGCUCAGUUGGUAGAGUGCUUGGCUCACAUGAGGCCCUGGGUUUAAUCCCCAGCACCACCA